UUCACUUUCGAAGAUAACGAUUAUGCUCGAACCGCGUUCGACAAAUAUUUGACAAUGAAUUAUCCUAAAUGGAUGAAUAAAGCCCGGGAAGAGGCGAAGAAGCUAGCAGGUGUGGAUCACCUAGACGACAGUUGCAAGAACUUUCCUCCUGGAUACCUGCGAAAGAACCAAUGAGAAAGAAUGAUGACGAAGUUCUUGUCAAACAAAUUUCAAGAAAAAUCAAAGAAGAAUUCUGAAAACCGCACAAGCAAUGAAGGAUACAUCCUCUACAAAGGAGGAUCGGCAUCCGUUGAAACUAAUACUCAGUCAUUGGUAAAACUAUUUAAUAUCUAAUUGGUUCACUUUUUAUUUCAAGUAAUUGAUCAUUUUUUCAUGAUAUAGAGUUUGAAACUCGGUCGACCAGCUUCAUUUACAGAAUCUUUUAUGACCCCUCAUUAUCCAAUCAACAAUAGAGGCAAGACUUUAAUGGUACGUAUUUAAUUAUCAAUAUUUUGUAUUUUUUUCAUUACUAAUUCAUUUUUGUUGUUGUUUAUAAUAGUCGGAUUACGAAACGUACAAACAGGAACAUUUCAAUAAACAACAAUCAUUAAAUGAAGACGAGGAAGAGGAUGAGUCAACAGACAAAGAAGAAAUAUCGACGCAAUGAUCGACAUCUUACAAGCAAAAAAGGCCUCUAUUCUUGAGGACAGUCUGGAAGCUUGGAUUAGGGCUUCAGGAGGCAAGACGAAAGGACGUAUUCUCGAAAUGAGACCAGGGGACGAUUCAUUGAUGUUGAAGAAAUCCAAGGCCAAAAUAAAUCGCCUAACAAAAGAAGAAAGAGAAAAGAAAAAAAGGAAAAAUUCGACACUCGUGUUCAAAAAACCGUUAACGUGGUCGUCGACCAGAGACUCGAGACGGUUAACCAACAAAUGAAGCUCAUGCUAAAAGUAC
Molecule: long non-coding RNA, 930 nt
Filed under: Zostera marina
Lineage: Eukaryota; Viridiplantae; Streptophyta; Magnoliopsida; Alismatales; Zosteraceae
Description: long non-coding RNA (ZMAR_LNC001756)
Source: RNAcentral